Molecule: ribosomal RNA, 318 nt
Filed under: uncultured Pseudomonas sp.
Lineage: Bacteria; Pseudomonadati; Pseudomonadota; Gammaproteobacteria; Pseudomonadales; Pseudomonadaceae
Description: bacterial SSU rRNA
Rfam family: Bacterial small subunit ribosomal RNA
Source: RNAcentral
AGAGUUUGAUCCUGGCUCAGAUUGAACGCUGGCGGCAGGCCUAACACAUGCAAGUCGAGCGGAUGAGGGGAGUUUGCUCCCUGAUUCAGCGGCGGACGGGUGAGUAAUGCCUAGGAAUCUGCCUGGUAGUGGGGGACAACGUUCCGAAAGGAGCGCUAAUACCGCAUACGUCCUACGGGAGAAAGCAGGGGACCUUCGGGCCUUGCGCUAUCAGAUGAGCCUAGGUCGGAUUAGCUAGUUGGUGAGGUAAUGGCUCACCAAGGCGACGAUCCGUAACUGGUCUGAGAGGAUGAUCAGUCACACUGGAACUGAGACACG